AAUCUCAUCAAAAUCCUGCACUACUUUAUAAUUUAAAAUAAAACAAUCUAUUUUUAUAUAUUAUAAUUUUAAUCCCUUAAAUAGAUUAAAUUAUAUUUAUAAGCACUUACCCACUUAUUUUAUUUUUACCCAUAUAUCUUUCACGAAAUUAUCCCGAGACACAAGAUUAACCAGAACUGAGUUUCGAAACUCACUACGUACAAUCAUCGGAGAACUGCGCCUCUGCACACACCGCCAUUAGGCCACCAUGCGCCAUCAUUGGAACCACCAUGAACUGGCCGAAAAUCACCACAGAACAUGCCACACACACAGAUGCGGCACAGAUACGAUGAAAUCAUGUUGAAAACUAUCUCAGAGUCGUGAAAUUGCGACUAGCGUCAUGGGUCUUCUUCUUCUUUAACGCUCACCAUUGCGCACAACGCCCUUGCCUCAUCGCGUCGGGUGCGCGAUUCUACUUAAAACCCUUCGCCCAGAUUUGCUUCCCAAUCUCGCUGUAGAUCCGAUUUCCUUUCGUCGUCGUUGUGCACCAGAAGCAAAACUCGCUGUGGCACCGAUCCUUUCUCCUCGGCCCGCUGCAUGCUACGCAUUAGCCUUCUUCCUCCACCAUGCGUUCUUCUCGUUCUUCUUUUUUCUUCUUAUUCCUCUUUCUUUUUUCUUCUUAUUCUUCUUUCUUUUCUCCAUUUACCGUGCAUGACUCUUCUCCUUCUUCUUCGGCUUCCAAAGGUGUGCACGCCUCUAGUUGUUUAUUUUUAUUUUUAUUAAAACGACGUCGUUUUCAUUUGUCC
Molecule: long non-coding RNA, 785 nt
Filed under: Carica papaya (papaya)
Lineage: Eukaryota; Viridiplantae; Streptophyta; Magnoliopsida; Brassicales; Caricaceae
Description: long non-coding RNA (CPAP_LNC005888)
Source: RNAcentral